GAUGAAUGCUGGCGGCGUGCCUAACACAUGCAAGUCGAGCGGCAGCGCGAGGAGUUUACUCCUUGGCGGCGAGCGGCGGACGGCUGAGUAACGCGUGGGAACGUGCCCCAAAGUGAGGAAUAACUGCCCGAAAGGGUGGCUAAUACCGCAUAUGAUCUUCGGAUUAAAGUCUUCGGACGCUUUGGGAGCGGCCCGCGUCGGAUUAGGUUGUUGGUGAGGUAAUGGCUCACCAAGCCGACGAUCCGUAGCUGGUCUGAGAGGAUGAUCAGCCAGACUGGGACUGAGACACGGCCCAGACUCCUACGGGAGGCAGCAGUGAGGAAUCUUCCACAAUGGGCGAAAGCCUGAUGGAGCGACGCCGCGUGAAGGAUGAAGGCCCUCGGGUUGUAAACUUCUUUUAGUUGGGAAGAAGCGAAAGUGACGGUACCAACAGAAAAAGCACCGGCUAACUACGUGCCAGCCGCCGCCGUAA
Molecule: ribosomal RNA, 472 nt
Filed under: uncultured bacterium
Lineage: Bacteria
Description: partial 16S ribosomal RNA
Rfam family: Bacterial small subunit ribosomal RNA
Source: RNAcentral